RNAcentral lists this ribosomal RNA (423 nucleotides) under uncultured bacterium. RNAcentral's name for it is "bacterial SSU rRNA". It matches the Rfam family "Bacterial small subunit ribosomal RNA", at positions 30 to 486 of the family's 1533-position model. The record is from RNAcentral.
AUUGAACGCUGGCGGCAUGCCUAACACAUGCAAGUCGAACGCGAAAUCACCUUCGGGUGAAAGUAGAGUGGCGGACGGGUGAGUAACGCGUGGGAAUCUGCCCAGUAGUGGGGGAUAACUCGAGGAAACUCGAGCUAAUACCGCAUACGCCCCAUGGGGGAAAGGCUUCGGCCGCUAUUGGAUGAGCCCGCGUCAGAUUAGCUAGUUGGUAGGGUGAAGGCCUACCAAGGCGACGAUCUGUAGCUGGUCUGAGAGGACGAACAGCCACACUGGGACUGAGACACGGCCCAGACUCCUACGGGAGGCAGCAGUGGGGAAUAUUGGACAAUGGGCGAAAGCCUGAUCCAGCAAUGCCGCGUGUGUGAAGAAGGCCUGCGGGUUGUAAAGCACUUUCAGUGGGAAGAUGAUGACGUACCAACAGAA